Anopheles arabiensis is the source of this 392-nucleotide long non-coding RNA. RefSeq lists it as uncharacterized. Lineage: Eukaryota; Metazoa; Arthropoda; Insecta; Diptera; Culicidae. The record is from RefSeq and is a predicted model, not a curated record. The transcript has 3 exons.
UGUGGAAUGAUUUAUCUUAAAUAACUUGUUGAGGUGCAUGCGCCAUUCAUCAACGCCUACCUGUUGGCAUCAUCAACAAUCUUCAAAGUGGGUGACGGAAAGAAAUUGUUUUCCAGUUUUAAAAUAUUAAGCGUUCAGCACAACUCAGCCACAAAACAACGCACUGGAUUGCGCUAAGAACCUGUCGAAACGCGCGCAGCCCCCGGGAACGGUUGGAGAAAGGAAGAACGAGAGGAGGAAAAACUAAAGCCAGCGCGCAGCUCUGAUGGUACCCCGGCCGCGGUAAGAAGAAAAAAGAUCGAGAGGAGGAAGAACGGUAAAUUUGGAAGGAGGAGACCGUUCUGCCGUCUCCACAGUGUGAGUAUGCCAAAGCACGUGUUGGAAGGGAGAGA